This 609-nucleotide ribosomal RNA is filed under the name uncultured Isosphaera sp. RNAcentral describes it as "bacterial SSU rRNA". It matches the Rfam family "Bacterial small subunit ribosomal RNA", at positions 81 to 699 of the family's 1533-position model. Lineage: Bacteria; Pseudomonadati; Planctomycetota; Planctomycetia; Isosphaerales; Isosphaeraceae. The record is from RNAcentral.
GGGCCGCAAGGCCAGUGGCGGAAGGGUGAGUAAGGCGAAGGUAACCAACCCCGCAGUUGGGCAUAGCCGGGGGAAACCCCGGGUAAUUCCCAGCGACGCGACGACCUGGCAUCAGGUUGUCGCCAAAGAUUUAUCGCUGUGGGACGGGCCUUCGUGGUAUUAGCUUGUUGGUGAGGUGACGGCUCACCAAGGCUUCGAUGCCUACCGGGCGUGCGAGCGUGGCCCGGCACACUGGGACUGAGACACUGCCCAGACUCCUACGGGAGGCUGCAGUCGAGAAUCUUCGGCAAUGGGCGCAAGCCUGACCGAGCGACGCCGCGUGGAGGAUGAAGGCCUUCGGGUUGUAAACUCCUGUCGAGGGGGAGGAAGGGGUAACCUUGACCGAUCCCUGGAGGAAGCACGGGCUAAGUUCGUGCCAGCAGCCGCGGUAAGACAAACCGUGCGAACGUUAUUCGGAAUCACUGGGCUUAAAGCGCGUGUAGGCGGACCACCACGUCGGCUGCUGAAAUCCCCCGGCUCAACCGGGGAACGGGCACCGAUACGAGUGGUCUUGAGGGGGGGUAGGGGGGUCUGGAACUUCCGGUGGAGCGGUGAAAUGCGUUGAGAUCG